This 1168-nucleotide ribosomal RNA is filed under the name Nonomuraea indica. RNAcentral's name for it is "bacterial LSU rRNA". It matches the Rfam family "Bacterial large subunit ribosomal RNA", at positions 1765 to 2925 of the family's 2925-position model. Lineage: Bacteria; Bacillati; Actinomycetota; Actinomycetes; Streptosporangiales; Streptosporangiaceae. The record is from RNAcentral.
AGCUGGUGGGGGUCGCAGUGGCCAGGGGGAAGCGACUGUUUACUAAAAACACAGGUCCGUGCGAAGUCGUAAGACGAUGUAUACGGACUGACGCCUGCCCGGUGCCGGAACGUUAAGGGGACCGCUUAGCGCAGCUUGCUGUGCGAAGGUGAGAACUUAAGCGCCGGUAAACGGCGGUGGUAACUAUAACCAUCCUAAGGUAGCGAAAUUCCUUGUCGGGUAAGUUCCGACCUGCACGAAUGGCGUAACGACUUCCCCGCUGUCUCAACCGCAGACCCGGCGAAAUUGCAUUACGAGUAAAGAUGCUCGUUACGCGCAGCAGGACGGAAAGACCCCGGGACCUUCACUACAGCUUGACAUUGGCGUUUGGAGCGUCUUGUGUAGGAUAGGUGGGAGACUGGGAAGCUCGGACGCUAGUUCGGGUGGAGUCAUUGGUGAAAUACCACUCUGGUCGUUUUGAACGUCUAACUCUGGUCCGUGAUCCGGAUCGGGGACAGUGUCUGGUGGGUAGUUUAACUGGGGCGGUUGCCUCCUAAAGGGUAACGGAGGCGCCCAAAGGUUCCCUCAGCCUGGUUGGUAAUCAGGUGUUGAGUGUAAGUGCACAAGGGAGCUUGACUGUGAGACUGACGGGUCGAGCAGGAGCGAAAGCUGGGACUAGUGAUCCGGCAUCGGCGUGUGGAAGCGGUGUCGCUCAACGGCUAAAAGGUACCCCGGGGAUAACAGGCUGAUCUUCCCCAAGAGUCCAUAUCGACGGGAUGGUUUGGCACCUCGAUGUCGGCUCGUCGCAUCCUGGGGCUGGAGUAGGUCCCAAGGGUUGGGCUGUUCGCCCAUUAAAGCGGUACGCGAGCUGGGUUUAGAACGUCGCGAGACAGUUCGGUCCCUAUCCGCUGCGCGCGCAGGAGACUUGAAAGGGGCUGUCCCUAGUACGAGAGGACCGGGACGGACGAACCUCUGGUGUGCCAGUUGUACCGCCAGGUGCACGGCUGGUUGGCUACGUUCGGAAGGGAUAACCGCUGAAAGCAUCUAAGCGGGAAGCUCGCCUUGAGAUGAGGUCUCCCACCACGUGAGUGGGUAAGGCUCCCGGUAGACGACCGGGUUGAUAGGCCGGAGGUGGAAGCACGGUAACGUGUGGAGCUGACCGGUACUAAUAGGCCGAGGACUUGACCAC